UACCUUCGGGUAGACAGGGAGACAGUGGUGCAUGGUUGUCGUCAGCUCGUGUCGUGAGAUGUUGGGUUAAGUCCCGCAACGAGCGCAACCCUUACGGUUAGUUGCCAGCGGGUUAUGCCGGGGCACUCUAGCUGAACUGCCGUUGACAAAACGGAGGAAGGUGGGGAUGACGUCAAAUCAUCAUGCCCUUUAUGUCCUGGGGCUACACACGUGCUACAAUGGCCUGUACAGAGGGAAGCGAAAGGGUGACCUGGAGCGAAUCCCAAAAAGCAGGUCUCAGUUCGGAUUGCAGGCUGCAACCCGCCUGCAUGAAGUCGGAAUCGCUAGUAAUCGCAGGUCAGCAUACUGCGGUGAAUACGUUCCCGGGCCUU
This 371-nucleotide ribosomal RNA is filed under the name uncultured Desulfotomaculum sp. RNAcentral describes it as "bacterial SSU rRNA". It matches the Rfam family "Bacterial small subunit ribosomal RNA", at positions 1014 to 1382 of the family's 1533-position model. The record is from RNAcentral. Lineage: Bacteria; Bacillati; Bacillota; Clostridia; Eubacteriales; Desulfotomaculaceae.